Venturia canescens is the source of this 1576-nucleotide long non-coding RNA. RefSeq lists it as uncharacterized. The transcript has 3 exons. NCBI's taxonomy places the organism in Eukaryota, Metazoa, Arthropoda, Insecta, Hymenoptera, Ichneumonidae. The record is from RefSeq and is a predicted model, not a curated record.
CGAAAAAUAAAAAAUUGAGUGAAUAAUGAAAAUGUUUUGCUUCAUUUCGCGCCAAGCCACCCUUACUGUGCAAAUAUUUUUACUCAUACCCAAAGGAUUACUCAUAACGGAUGUGGCGAGAGAAAGAAAAAGGGGACACGAAAGAGCGUCUCGACGUCUCGGCGACUAUGCGGCAGCCGUCACUCUCGUGUAUAGACACAUUACACUUGACACGUAUUUAAACGUCUCCGAACCGCAAAACGGUGACCGGAUCGGAAGAUACUUUCAAUGUCGCGAUCACACGAUCGACAACCUCCGGAGCACAAUAUUACUUACGUAAAUAAGCAAUAACGAUCCGUGACUUUCUCACUCACCGAGAAAUUGGGCAUAAAAAAUCAGCGUUGGCUCAUCAGAAUAGUAUUUCGAACAAUUUUCUACUCGCGUCAAGGAAAAGCAGGUGAAGCGGAGGAAGGAUCAAUUAUCGAAGCCAGCCAAGCGUGGUGGAACACAUCGAUGUUGGUGCCCAGACUCGAUACUACGACACGCAUACACCCACAUACGCGUGAAUCGUACUCGUAUAAGUAAUGGGAUUACCUUAAUUAGCACGAGGAAAUGAAUCAAGUACGACGGAUGGGCGUCACAGAGCAGUGGCAGCGGGGGGAAUUUGUCAGUUUCGAAAUCUCGAAAAUUCAACGUGUCGGAAUGGUCGUACCUGUAUUUGAGGACGCGACGAUCCUAAUUUCGAUUUUUGACACGUCCUCAAAUACUGAAUGGCACCGUACGACCCGUUGCGAUCGCCGAUUAAGGCCUCGUGGUAAUUAAUACCGGUACUGCGUCGGGUGUGCAACUCAGUCUGGGGAUAGAAAUCGAUACACCGUGUCCCGAGGGAUAUGGAAUGAAACUCGAGAUUCCGUGGUUCUCUAUCGCGAAAGCUUCCACUUUUAGUGCAUCGUAAUUAUGAAAGAUGCGAGCAUCGGGAGGUCUGAGAAGCCCCGGAUUUCUUUUGGAUUGAUAUAUGAAAAUCGAUCGAGCCGAACUUUGUAGAGAAUCGAAGAACAUUGGGGCUUAAACAAUUCUUCAAAAUCUCACAUUUAUCAUGAAAAUAAAAAAUCCUUGAGAAUGAGCUUCAAUGGCCUAAAACGAUUUGUUUGUUGGACAGAAUAAUUCAAACCGUUGCAAUUCCGUAGAACGGCAUUAAAUCGCAACCGUUGUCAUCGGAGCUGCUCGGCGAUGAUGGCAGUGUGAGAGAGUGCAAUGAACAAUGAUCGCUGCACAUGAGUACCAGUCGAGCUUGGACGACGCUGAUAAGCGACUCGAGUGCAUCUCUCUUUUUUAUUCAUCACGCGCACUCACACCAAUUCACGUGGAUGCACUUGUCGCGACUAGAGUUCGUAACUGGCGACAGGAAGUCGUAUCUGUCGUGAAACUCGCCAUGACAACAAAGGAGCAACAACGGUGGCCUGGACCCGACUUCGUAGCGAAAAUUACGCUCGCAUAAUCUCGCGAAUUUUCUCAUUUCCAAGAUCCAAUAUUUCGUGGUUUUUAUAGUCGAACUUCAAAUUCCUAUAAAAUAGUGUGUGAACCUGUGAUUCUCGAU